GAACGCACAUUGCGCCCUUUGGUAUUCCUUAGGGCAUGCCUGUUCGAGCGUCAUUUCAAACUUCAAGCCCCCCCUUUAGCUUGGUGUUGGGCGUCUGUCCUCCCCCCGGGACUCGCCUCAAAUGCAUUGGCAGCCGGCACGUUGGCUUCGAGCGCAGCAGAAACGCGCGCGGCGUCCGACGGUGCCUGGCUCUCCAGGAAGCCUCCACCUCAAGUUUGACCUCGGAUCAGGUAGGGAUACCCGCUGAACUUAAG
Molecule: unclassified non-coding RNA, 254 nt
Filed under: uncultured Pleosporales
Lineage: Eukaryota; Fungi; Ascomycota; Dothideomycetes; Pleosporales
Description: sequence contains 5.8S rRNA gene
Source: RNAcentral